This 1642-nucleotide ribosomal RNA is filed under the name Escherichia coli. RNAcentral's name for it is "partial 23S ribosomal RNA". It matches the Rfam family "Bacterial large subunit ribosomal RNA", at positions 582 to 2209 of the family's 2925-position model. Lineage: Bacteria; Pseudomonadati; Pseudomonadota; Gammaproteobacteria; Enterobacterales; Enterobacteriaceae. The record is from RNAcentral.
UCUUUAUGGGGUGACUGCGUACCUUUUGUAUAAUGGGUCAGCGACUUAUAUUCUGUAGCAAGGUUAACCGAAUAGGGGAGCCGAAGGGAAACCGAGUCUUAACUGGGCGUUAAGUUGCAGGGUAUAGACCCGAAACCCGGUGAUCUAGCCAUGGGCAGGUUGAAGGUUGGGUAACACUAACUGGAGGACCGAACCGACUAAUGUUGAAAAAUUAGCGGAUGACUUGUGGCUGGGGGUGAAAGGCCAAUCAAACCGGGAGAUAGCUGGUUCUCCCCGAAAGCUAUUUAGGUAGCGCCUCGUGAAUUCAUCUCCGGGGGUAGAGCACUGUUUCGGCAAGGGGGUCAUCCCGACUUACCAACCCGAUGCAAACUGCGAAUACCGGAGAAUGUUAUCACGGGAGACACACGGCGGGUGCUAACGUCCGUCGUGAAGAGGGAAACAACCCAGACCGCCAGCUAAGGUCCCAAAGUCAUGGUUAAGUGGGAAACGAUGUGGGAAGGCCCAGACAGCCAGGAUGUUGGCUUAGAAGCAGCCAUCAUUUAAAGAAAGCGUAAUAGCUCACUGGUCGAGUCGGCCUGCGCGGAAGAUGUAACGGGGCUAAACCAUGCACCGAAGCUGCGGCAGCGACACUAUGUGUUGUUGGGUAGGGGAGCGUUCUGUAAGCCUGUGAAGGUGGCCUGUGAGGGUUGCUGGAGGUAUCAGAAGUGCGAAUGCUGACAUAAGUAACGAUAAAGCGGGUGAAAAGCCCGCUCGCCGGAAGACCAAGGGUUCCUGUCCAACGUUAAUCGGGGCAGGGUGAGUCGACCCCUAAGGCGAGGCCGAAAGGCGUAGUCGAUGGGAAACAGGUUAAUAUUCCUGUACUUGGUGUUACUGCGAAGGGGGGACGGAGAAGGCUAUGUUGGCCGGGCGACGGUUGUCCCGGUUUAAGCGUGUAGGCUGAUUUUCCAGGCAAAUCCGGAAAAUCAAGGCUGAGGCGUGAUGACGAGGCACUACGGUGCUGAAGCAACAAAUGCCCUGCUUCCAGGAAAAGCCUCUAAGCAUCAGGUAACAUCAAAUCGUACCCCAAACCGACACAGGUGGUCAGGUAGAGAAUACCAAGGCGCUUGAGAGAACUCGGGUGAAGGAACUAGGCAAAAUGGUGCCGUAACUUCGGGAGAAGGCACGCUGAUAUGUAGGUGAAGCGACUUGCUCGUGGAGCUGAAAUCAGUCGAAGAUACCAGCUGGCUGCAACUGUUUAUUAAAAACACAGCACUGUGCAAACACGAAAGUGGACGUAUACGGUGUGACGCCUGCCCGGUGCCGGAAGGUUAAUUGAUGGGGUUAGCGGUAACGCGAAGCUCUUGAUCGAAGCCCCGGUAAACGGCGGCCGUAACUAUAACGGUCCUAAGGUAGCGAAAUUCCUUGUCGGGUAAGUUCCGACCUGCACGAAUGGCGUAAUGAUGGCCAGGCUGUCUCCACCCGAGACUCAGUGAAAUUGAACUCGCUGUGAAGAUGCAGUGUACCCGCGGCAAGACGGAAAGACCCCGUGAACCUUUACUAUAGCUUGACACUGAACAUUGAGCCUUGAUGUGUAGGAUAGGUGGGAGGCUUUGAAGUGUGGACGCCAGUCUGCAUGGAGCCGACCUUGAAAUACCACCCUUUA